RNAcentral lists this small nuclear RNA (105 nucleotides) under Prolemur simus (greater bamboo lemur). The record is from RNAcentral. Lineage: Eukaryota; Metazoa; Chordata; Mammalia; Primates; Lemuridae.
UUGCUCACUUAGACAGCACAUAUACUAAAGUUGGAAUGACAUGGAGGUUAGCAUGGCCCUCUGCACAAGGAUGACAUGCAAAUCUGUGACUCGUUCCUUAUUUUU